RNAcentral lists this ribosomal RNA (891 nucleotides) under uncultured archaeon. Its description in RNAcentral is "bacterial SSU rRNA". It matches the Rfam family "Archaeal small subunit ribosomal RNA", at positions 51 to 922 of the family's 1478-position model. The record is from RNAcentral.
AUGCUAGUCGAACGCACAGAACUAUGUCUGGGAGUGGCACACUGCUCAGUAACACGUAGCUAACCUACCCUUAGGACGUGGAUACCCCCGAGAAAUUGGGGUUAAUCCGCGAUAGAUGUAAUGUCCUGGAAUGGUAUUACGUCUAAAGGUAUUUCAUACAUGUUUGAAAUAUGCCUAAGGAUGGGGCUGCGGCCGAUCAGGCUGUUGGUGAGGUAAUGGCUCACCAAACCUUUGACCGGUACGGGCCAUGAGAGUGGUAGCCCGGAGAUGGACACUGAGACAAGGGUCCAGGCCCUAAGGGGCGCAGCAACCGCGAAACCUCCACAAUGCACUCACGUGCGAUGGGGCUAUCUCGAGUGCCACCUGAUGAAGGUGGCUUUUCCUUGGUCUUCAAAGCCUUGGGAAUAAGAGGGGGGCAAGACUGGUGUCAGCCGCCGCGGUAACACCAGCCCCUCGAGUGGUGGGGAUGAUUAUUUGGCCUAAAGCGUCCGUAGCCGGCCGUGAAAGUCUUCCGUUAAAUCCAGCGUCUCAAGCGUUGGACCGCGGGAGAUACUACAUGGCUAGAGAGUGGGAGAGGUCAGCGGUAUUCUGGGGGUAGGGGCGAAAUCCUUUGAUCCCCGGAGGACCACCAGUGGCGAAGGCUGCUGACUAGAACACGUCUGACGGUCAGGGACGAAAGCUGGGGUAGCGAACCGGAUUAGAUACCCGGGUAGUCCCAGCCGUAAACGAUGCAUGCUAGGUGUUGGGUUGGCCACGAGCCACCCCAGUGCCGCAGGGAAGCCGUUAAGCAUGCCGCCUGGGAAGUACGAUCGCAAGAUUGAAACUUAAAGGAAUUGGCGGGGGAGCACCACCAGGCGUGAAGCCUGCGGUUUAAUUGGAUUCAACGCCGGG